UACGUAGGGGGCAAGCGUUAUCCGGAUUUACUGGGUGUAAAGGGAGCGUAGACGGCAGCGCAAGUCUGGAGUGAAAUGCCGGGGCCCAACCCCGGAACUGCUUUGGAAACUGUGCAGCUCGAGUGCAGGAGAGGUAAGCGGAAUUCCUAGUGUAGCGGUGAAAUGCGUAGAUAUUAGGAGGAACACCAGUGGCGAAGGCGGCUUACUGGACUGUAACUGACGUUGAGGCUCGAAAGCGUAGGGAGCAAACAGG
This 253-nucleotide ribosomal RNA is filed under the name uncultured bacterium. RNAcentral describes it as "partial 16S ribosomal RNA". It matches the Rfam family "Bacterial small subunit ribosomal RNA", at positions 524 to 776 of the family's 1533-position model. The record is from RNAcentral.